This 425-nucleotide ribosomal RNA is filed under the name uncultured bacterium. RNAcentral's name for it is "bacterial SSU rRNA". It matches the Rfam family "Bacterial small subunit ribosomal RNA", at positions 354 to 796 of the family's 1533-position model. The record is from RNAcentral.
GUCGGGAAUUUUGGGCAAUGGGCGAAAGCCUGACCCAGCAACGCCGCGUGAAGGAUGAAGUAUUUCGGUAUGUAAACUUCGAAAGAAUGGGAAGAAUCAAUGACGGUACCAUUUAUAAGGUCCGGCUAACUACGUGCCAGCAGCCGCGGUAAUACGUAGGGACCAAGCGUUGUUCGGAUUUACUGGGCGUAAAGGGCGCGUAGGCGGCUUAACAAGUCACUUGUGAAAUCUCCGGGCUUAACUCGGAACGGCCAAGUGAAACUGUCAAGCUAGAGUGCAGAAGGGGCAAUCGGAAUUCUUGGUGUAGCGGUGAAAUGCGUAGAUAUCAAGAGGAACACCUGAGGUGAAGACGGGUUGCUGGGCUGACACUGACGCUGAGGCGCGAAAGCCAGGGGAGCAAACGGGAUUAGAUACCCGUGUAGUCC